RNAcentral lists this ribosomal RNA (783 nucleotides) under uncultured bacterium. Its description in RNAcentral is "bacterial SSU rRNA". It matches the Rfam family "Bacterial small subunit ribosomal RNA", at positions 28 to 776 of the family's 1533-position model. The record is from RNAcentral.
AUUGAACGCUGGCGGCAGGCCUAACACAUGCAAGUCGAGCGGCAGCGACUUAACUGAACCUUCGGGGAACGUUAAGGGCGGCGAGCGGCGGACGGGUGAGUAAUGCCUGGGAAUAUGCCCUGAUGUGGGGGAUAACUAUUGGAAACGAUAGCUAAUACCGCAUAAUCUCCGAUCUUUUACGAGAUGGGAGCAAAGAGGGGGACCUUCGGGCCUCUCGCGUCAGGAUUAGCCCAGGUGGGAUUAGCUUGUUGGUGAGGUAAUGGCUCACCAAGGCAACGAUCCCUAGCUGGUCUGAGAGGAUGAUCAGCCACACUGGAACUGAGACACGGUCCAGACUCCUACGGGAGGCAGCAGUGGGGAAUAUUGCACAAUGGGGGAAACCCUGAUGCAGCCAUGCCGCGUGUGUGAAGAAGGCCUUCGGGUUGUAAAGCACUUUCAGUAGGGAGGAAGGUAGUGUAGUUAACACCUGCGUUAUUUGACGUUACCUACAGAAGAAGCACCGGCUAACUCCGUGCCAGCAGCCGCGGUAAUACGGAGGGUGCGAGCGUUAAUCGGAAUUACUGGGCGUAAAGCGCAUGCAGGCGGCCUGUUAAGUCAGAUGUGAAAGCCCGGGGCUUAACCUCGGAAUUGCAUUUGAAACUGGCAGGCUAGAGUCUUGUAGAGGGGGGUAGAAUUUCAGGUGUAGCGGUGAAAUGCGUAGAGAUCUGAAGGAAUACCAGUGGCGAAGGCGGCCCCCUGGACAAAGACUGACGCUCAGAUGCGAAAGCGUGGGGAGCAAACAGG